GGAGAGAUAGCUCAAUCUUAGAGGACAGGACUUGUGUGCCUGAGGUCCCAGGUUCAAUUCCUGGCACACUG
This 71-nucleotide transfer RNA is filed under the name Erinaceus europaeus (western European hedgehog). It matches the Rfam family "tRNA". From Rfam's summary of the family: Transfer RNA (tRNA) molecules are approximately 80 nucleotides in length. Their secondary structure includes four short double-helical elements and three loops (D, anti-codon, and T loops). Lineage: Eukaryota; Metazoa; Chordata; Mammalia; Eulipotyphla; Erinaceidae. The record is from Rfam by way of RNAcentral.